Hippocampus comes (tiger tail seahorse) is the source of this 727-nucleotide long non-coding RNA. RefSeq lists it as uncharacterized. The transcript is spliced from 3 exons. NCBI's taxonomy places the organism in Eukaryota, Metazoa, Chordata, Actinopteri, Syngnathiformes, Syngnathidae. The record is from RefSeq and is a predicted model, not a curated record.
AGGAAGGCCCCAUUUUGAUAUUUUUCUAAAAAUGACGCAUUCCGACUUUUUCGCCUUUGAAAGUCACCCUGGAAAAGCAAUAUGGAUGACUGAUAUGAGUGACUCUGUAUCUUGUUCUUCAUUUGACUUCCGACCGUCUUCACGCGCGACUUCAACCGCAGGCAGCUUCCACACAAUGGACACAAAUACGACUGGAGUUCCGUGGUUCAAAAGUGACCGACCGGCGUUCACCCUGGGCCAUAUUCUCAGCCCACUUAGAAUCUGCACACACACACACUCUCACCUCGACGUCUUCUGACCGACCCUGCUGCACGUCACCCGUGAGCCCGUCUGGCGGAGGCAAAGCAAAACCUCGGAAGGGGGCGGAGAGGCUUAUGCGCAAUUAAUUCCGACAGGCUGGAGGCGGCAACAACCGGAGCGGACAAACCAGCGGAGAGAGCGACCGAGCGCAGGCGAGAAAACUUGGGAGCAACGACGACAAGGUCGCAUCCGUCCGGGUGAGCCGAGCGCACCUCAUCCAACUUGCUCCGUGCAAUCCAAAACGCCUUGGAUCAAAAUUCAUCUCCCGUUUGACAGAAGAGUCACGAGCGUUUUGGCCGGGACGACCGUCUUGGGUUUCUGAGGCAAGUUCACCUCCCGCUAAGCCUUCCAAUGUUUGUUUUGGCCCGCUAAUCCACUUUGCCUUCGGCCGGGCGCGCCGGCACCGGAUGCAAAGUGGAUUGAAAUG